This is a long non-coding RNA of Gasterosteus aculeatus aculeatus (three-spined stickleback), 430 nucleotides long. The record is from Ensembl. NCBI's taxonomy places the organism in Eukaryota, Metazoa, Chordata, Actinopteri, Perciformes, Gasterosteidae.
CAACAAGCUACCAAACGAGCAGCAACAGCUAGCGGCUAUUCUCCGCUGGGGGGGGACGCGGUGCAUUAACGGUGCAAAAGUUUCGAAACACGGGUUCCUGGUGCUGAAUACAGACAAGAGCGACGCCGGGCGAAUCCUGAGACGGCUGCCGGAACCAUGGCUGACAGCUGGCGUUUGUAACGGCGAGUUAUUUGACGUUAUUUGACGCUUCAAAUGUGCGGAAAGUCGCUCGCUCUCGCCUCGUCGCCGAACAAGAUGGACGCAGCGGCAGCAACGCCGUCGUUGCAGGAUCUGACCGCGGUGCCGUCCCCCGAAGCGCUGGGUGCUGCGAUUAAUGGCUACCACUGAAGAGGUCAGGGCUUUCUUUGGGGUUCUCCUUUGUGUGAAACUGACUGUCCGGUGUGGCAUGUGGGGACAAGCCAGAGAUAUA